This 253-nucleotide ribosomal RNA is filed under the name uncultured bacterium. Its description in RNAcentral is "partial 16S ribosomal RNA". It matches the Rfam family "Bacterial small subunit ribosomal RNA", at positions 524 to 776 of the family's 1533-position model. The record is from RNAcentral.
UACGAGGGGGGCAAAUGUUGUUCGGAAUCACUGGGCGUAAAGGGAGCGUAGGCGGGUUUCUAAGUCAGGUGUUUAAUCCCGGGGCCCAACCCCGGACAGGCACUUGAAACUGGAAAUCUUGAAUAGUGGAGAGGUCAGUGGAAUUGGGGGUGUAGCGGUGAAAUGCGUAGAUAUCGUAAGGAAGACCAGUGGCGAAGGCGGGUCUCUGGACAGUUCCUGACGCUGAGGCACGAAGGCCAGGGGAGCAAACGGG